CAUUAUCGUACAACCGAGGUGCAAGGGCUGUCGCUGACCUCCAAAGGUUGUGCACGCCCGAGCGCUCUCACACAAUCCAUCUCACACCCCUUUGUGCAUCACCGCGAGGGUCCCAGUGGCUGUAACGGCCCCAAGGUGGGAAUGCGAGGCGAUGUUUUCCCCAACGGAGUCCCGUGCUCGUGCGCCGAGUUCAAGACUGUCCCCUCCAGAAAACUUUGGUGUCCAUCGUCCCUCACAGCGUAGGCUGUGGUCGGAUUUGGAGUAAUCGGCCCUUGUCUAGCCAGGGAAGCAAUUCCGCAGCUAGCAGGACUCACCGAGUUGGUCUUAGGAGAUCAGGGCACGUCAUCUGUCGCGCGGGUGCGCCGUGUCCCUCGUAGACCUUUAUACCUCGCGUUUUCACACAAUCCUCUGAUACAGUGUAGAAUGUUAUUUUACCUUUUGCGGCCACACGCAAUCAAUACAACUUUCAACAACGGAUCUCUUGGCUCUCGCAUCGAUGAAGAACGCAGCGAAAUGCCAUAU
Molecule: unclassified non-coding RNA, 522 nt
Filed under: uncultured Russula
Lineage: Eukaryota; Fungi; Basidiomycota; Agaricomycetes; Russulales; Russulaceae
Description: sequence contains ITS1, 5.8S rRNA gene and ITS2
Rfam family: 5.8S ribosomal RNA (bases 462-522)
Source: RNAcentral